CGGAUUGUAGGCUGCAACCCGCCUACAUGAAGUUGGAAUUGCUAGUAAUCGCAGAUCAGAAUGCUGCGGUGAAUACGUUCCCGGGCCUUGUACACACCGCCCGUCACACCAUGGGAGCCGGUAAUACCCGAAGUCAGUAGUCUAACCGCGAAGGGGGACGCUGCCGAAGGUAGGAUUGGCGACUGGGGUGAAGUCGUAACAAGGUACC
This 208-nucleotide ribosomal RNA is filed under the name uncultured bacterium. RNAcentral's name for it is "partial 16S ribosomal RNA". It matches the Rfam family "Bacterial small subunit ribosomal RNA", at positions 1294 to 1500 of the family's 1533-position model. The record is from RNAcentral.